RNAcentral lists this ribosomal RNA (352 nucleotides) under uncultured bacterium. RNAcentral describes it as "bacterial SSU rRNA". It matches the Rfam family "Bacterial small subunit ribosomal RNA", at positions 72 to 422 of the family's 1533-position model. The record is from RNAcentral.
AAGUGGAGCAAUCCAUGAGUAAAGUGGCGACCGGGUGAGUAACACGUGACUAACCUACCCUUGAGUGGGGGAUAACCUCGGGAAACCGGGGCUAAUACCGCAUAACAUCUUUGGAUCGGAAGAACUGGAGAUCAAAGGAGCAAUUCGCUGAAGGAGGGGGUCGCGGCUGAUUAGCUAGUUGGCGGGGUAAUGGCCCACCAAGGCUUUGAUCGGUAGCCGGCCUGAGAGGGCGCACGGCCACACUGGAACUGAAACACGGUCCAGACUCCUACGGGAGGCAGCAGUGGGGAAUUUUGCGCAAUGGGGGAAACCCUGACGCAGCAACGCCGCGUGGAGGAUGAAGUCCCUUGGG